AUCUUUUUCAAUCAUUUCAGACCUUUCAAACCCAUUGUUGAAACAACAUACUACUCCCAUUUUUGCUUGUCAUUUGCAGCUUUUUCUAUGUUCCUUACUCCCAAUAUCCUUAGGUCAUCCUUUAUUCUGUCAAUGUACCUUUGUCUAGGUCACCCUUUGAGUAUCUUUAUGUUUAGUUAUCAUCUUGUUACUUGUUCAAUUAGUUCUUCUAAUCACCAAGCUCAGCCCAACUAAUUCUCAUGUUUUUUUAAAAUCUCAACAGCGCAAGGUUCACUACUAUAUAGCUAUAAAUAUAUAAUUCCAAAUUUUUGUUGUUUAUUAUUAUAUAAUUAUAUGUUAUAUACGCUGUUUAAUAUACAGUAAUUUUCUAUCAAUAAUUUAAAAAAAAUCAUAUUAUUUUACUAUGGGAAAUAAUAAUAUUUAAUUAUUUUUAUGAUUAUGAUAUUAAAUCAUACCUGAUAUUUAUUACAUGACUAAAUAAGUAUAUAAUAAAUAUUCAUAACUU
Non-coding RNA from Cinara cedri, 505 nucleotides. The record is from the annotation of a GenBank genome assembly. Lineage: Eukaryota; Metazoa; Arthropoda; Insecta; Hemiptera; Aphididae.